CUGUAAAUGGGAAUUUUUGGGGAGUUUUGCAAAAGCUGCAGACAACAUGUGAAGGCCGGCAGACGACACAGAAAAAUUCAGAAGCUCAGAAAUGCUUAACCGAAAUUUUACAAUAAGCAGGAUGCCCAUUUUCAGUCUACCUGUACUGGAUAUGCCCUUCAGGCAAAGGUUCAUGUUCUGUAAUGUCAUCAAGGUGAUUGUGAAGCACUCAUCCAUUGAUCGGGGCUCCCUCUUUAGGCCUCUUGGACCUUCAGGGACUAUGCCUGGUAGCACUGGAAGUUAGAAGAAAGAAAAUCGAACUGGGUAUUGGCCCUAGGGUCUGGCUCUGCCCCAACCUAUAUAUGGAACUUUGGGGGAACGCAGUUACCCUCAGUUCCACCUGGAUGUGCCCUGCCAGCAUUUGCAUAGGUGAGGAAACUGAGGCCCACAGAAGGAAAGAUGCCUGUUGAGGAGAUGUGUUGUGCUUACUUCUUGCACUCCAGUUGGAUGGAUUUUCUCUUUGCUUCCUCGAACACCUCUGUUCCUGUCUCCAGACUGCCUCCCAUGCUGUUUCUUUGGCAAGGCUGGUCUUUUCAUAAACGGUUGAGAGUCAUUUCUCAAGCCUCUUUCCCUGAACAGUCUUUCUCUACUGUGGUAAAGGGCAUUCUAGACACCCUCCUUCCCUCGCGCACAGUUCUUUUGCAUUCCUUGGCAAGUGGAGGCCAGAGCAAUCAAAUCAACAAAGCAGUUUUUGCAGUGGGAUCCCAACAUAGAUGCUUACUUAUGAAGUUUUCACUGUGGGGCAGCUACAUCUCUGACGUACCUUGCACUUGAUACCUGACAUACCAAAAGGGAUAAUAUAUGUGAAAGGACUUAGAGAAUGCUGAAGUGCUUUAGGAAACGAGAUGUUUUGUUAUAUUCUCUAAAGAUCUCAAAGGGAAAUUCUAUUUCUUUACUCAGCUAAGGGCACUUCUAAGUGGCUAGGGCCAGAUUAUUAAAAAAAAAAACCCUGCAAAAAAUGUGAACAGGUUGCUCUUAUGCCUAAAGCGGAUUCUGUUGCUUUUAGUGCCGUGCUUUGUGGGUGGUCAGGGCAGUGCACUUGCACUUUGCAAAUUUCUAGUGUGUUCCGAAGUGAACUUGAACUUAGGACCCAGCAUUCUUCCCUAGGAAGGAAAGGGGGUGAACUAAACAGUGUGCUCCUGGCUAAGCCUUCAGCAGAUUUUCAUUUGUCUCAUAGCUGUAGUUUUGGUAGUUAAACCAGAAUAGUAGCCCUGUUAACAAAGAAUUAAGCAAAUGCAUAUGGAUUUCUUCAGCAGCCUCCUUUGCUCUGCUAGAAUGCCUGGCAGUCAGAAAUAAAAACCAUAUUG
Molecule: long non-coding RNA, 1346 nt
Organism: Phascolarctos cinereus (koala)
Lineage: Eukaryota; Metazoa; Chordata; Mammalia; Diprotodontia; Phascolarctidae
Source: RefSeq, a predicted model, not a curated record